GAAACUGUGCCUGAAUUUUAAAGGAGCACUUUGAUAGAGUGAACCAUGGGGGUUAAAGUCCCCCCAGUUUCU
This 72-nucleotide transfer RNA is filed under the name Psettina iijimae. Its description in RNAcentral is "tRNA-Ile". It matches the Rfam family "tRNA". From Rfam's summary of the family: Transfer RNA (tRNA) molecules are approximately 80 nucleotides in length. Their secondary structure includes four short double-helical elements and three loops (D, anti-codon, and T loops). Further hydrogen bonds mediate the characteristic L-shaped molecular structure. tRNAs have two regions of fundamental functional importance: the anti-codon, which is responsible for specific mRNA codon recognition, and the 3' end, to which the tRNAs corresponding amino acid is attached (by aminoacyl-tRNA synthetases). tRNAs cope with the degeneracy of the genetic code in two manners: having more than one tRNA (with a specific anti-codon) for a particular amino acid; and 'wobble' base-pairing, i.e. permitting non-standard base-pairing at the 3rd anti-codon position. Lineage: Eukaryota; Metazoa; Chordata; Actinopteri; Pleuronectiformes; Bothidae. The record is from RNAcentral.